GUGAAACGGAACAAAUAGGAGAACAGAUUGUGAGGGAAACAGAACACGUGGAAGAACAGGCCAUAAGGGAAGCCAUCACACAAGGCUACACACACACACACACACACACACACAUGCAUAAAUACAUACAUGCACAUCAUGAGAAAAUAUUAUGAGGCAAGAUAUCACAAGACAACACACACACACUCUUGUCUUCCCCUCCAGCUUGGCUUCCCUUGCUUCGUUUUCUAUGACACUUUCAAGGUCGCUGGGUAUCCGGGGCUUUAAACCUGGGGACAUGGUGGCUAGAAAUGACGCGACGAGGCCUUUUAAACAUUUAAACAUGGCGCAGGGGGCGGGGGAGGAGGAGGUGGAGGAAACUUUAGAGGGGACGAUGACGGGGAGGAGGAGGAGAAGGAAGAGGAGGAUACGUGUGUGUGUGUGUGUGUGUGUGUGUGUGUGUGUGUGUGUGUUUGAGUGUGUGUGUGUGUGUGUUUGAGUGUGUGUGUGUGUGUGUGUGUGUGUGUGUGUGUUUAGGAGCGGAGACAAGCAGUAAGGGAGAGAGAGAAUGCUUUAGACAGAUGCACAAUGUCUUCAAUAAGUACGUAACAGAGAGAGAGAGAGAGAGAGAGAGAGAGAGAGAGAGAGAGAGAGAGAGAGAGAGAGAGAGAGAGAGAGAGAGAGAGAGAGAGAUCUAUACAGCAAGGUCUAACAAUAGGUACAUCCAACCCGCCUGAAAGGAAGGAUUAACAUAACCUAACCUUACUCACCUACACACCUAUGACAAAAUUAAUUCUUGCUCAAAUGUUUUUGGGGAAAAUUCAUAAGUGGGCAACAAUUAAAUGACUGUCCAGGGAUGGGGAUUCCAACCCUGGCUGGCAGAUUCAUAGGUAGGCAUGCUAACCACUACACCAUGGAGCCCUAAGAAUUCGCCACACUAUACCAGGACAAAUAAUUCUUAGUGUGUGCCCUGGUAAGAUUCAAAUGUGCAGCCCUGGUAGUGAGUAAGUGUAUGGGGAUUGGUGAGUAAGUUUAUGGGCACAAGUAAGUUAUGGGCAUUGGUGAGUAAGUUUUGGGGGCAGGUGAGUAAUUUCAUGGGCUCAGGUGAAUAAGUUUAUGGGCAUUGGUAAGUAAGUUUAUGGGCACAAGUAAGUUAUGGGCAUUGGUGAGUAAGUUUUGGGGGCAAGGUGAGUAAGUUUGUUUGCACAAAUGAGUAAGUUAUGGGAGAGAGAGAGAGAGAGAGAGAGAGAGAGAGAGAGAGAGAGAGAGAGAGAGAGAGAUAGAGAGAGAGAGAGAGAGAGAGAGAGAGAGAGAGAGAGAGAGAGAGAGAGAGAGAGAGAGAGAGAGAGAGAGAGAGAGAGAGAGAGAGAGAGAGAGAGAGAGAGAGAGAGAGAGAGAGAGAGAGAGAGAGAGAGAGAGAGAGAGAGAGAGAGAGAGAGAGAUAUCUAUACAGCAAGGUCUAACAAUAGGUACAUCCAACCCGCCUGAAAGGAAGGAUGAACAUAACCUAACCUUACUCACCUACAUACCUAUGACAAAAUUAAUUCUUGCUCAAAUGUUUUUGGGGAAAAUUCAUAAGUGGGCAACAAUUAAAUGACUGUCCAGGGAUGGGGAUUCCAACCCUGGCUGGCAGAUUCAAAGGUAGGCAUGCUAACCACUACACCAUGGAGCCAUAAGAAUUAGCCACACUAUACCAGGACAAAUAAUUCUUAGUGUGUGCCCUGGUAAGAUUCAAAUGUGCAGCCCUGGUAGUGAGUAAGUGUAUGGUGAUUGGUGAGUAAGUUUAUGGGCACAAGUAAGUUAUGGGCAUUGGUGAGUAAGUUUUGGGGGCAGGUGAGUAAUUUCAUGGGCUCAGGUGAAUAAGUUUAUGGGCAUUGGUAAGUAAGUUUAUGGGCACAAGUAAGUUAUGGGCAUUGGUGAGUAAGUUUUGGGGGCAAGGUGAGUAAGUUUGUUUGCACAAAUGAGUAAGUUAUGAGAGAGAGAGAGAGAGAGAGAGAGAGAGAGAGAGAGAGAGAGAGAGAGAGAGAGAGAGAGAGAGAGAGAGAGAGAGAGAGAGAGAGAGAGAGAGAGAGAGAGAGAGAGAGAGAGAGAGAGAGAGAGAGAGAGAGAGAGAGAGAGAGAGAGAGAGAUCUAUACAGCAAGGUCUAACAAUAGGUACAUCCAACCCGCCUGAAAGGAAGGAUGAACAUAACCUAACCUUACUCACCUACAUACCUAUGACAAAAUUAAUUCUUGCUCAAAUGUUUUUGGGGAAAAUUCAUAAGUGGGCAACAAUUAAAUGACUGUCCAGGGAUGAUGAUUCCAACCCUGGCUGGCAGAUUCAAAGGUAGGCAUGCUAACCACUACACCAUGGAGCCAUAAGAAUUAGCCACACUAUACCAGGACAAAUAAUUCUUAGUGUGUGCCCUGGUAAGAUUCAAAUGUGCAGCCCUGGUAGUGAGUAAGUGUAUGGUGAUUGGUGAGUAAGUUUAUGGGCACAAGUAAGUUAUGGGCAUUGGUGAGUAAGUUUUGGGGGCAGGUGAGUAAUUACAUGGGCUCAGGUGAAUAAGUUUAUGGGCAUUGGUAAGUAAGUUUAUGGGCACCAGUAAGUUAUGGGCAUUGGUGAGUCAGUUUUGGGGGCAGGUGAGUAAGUUCAUGGGCAUUGGUGAGUAAGUUUUGGGGGCAAGGUGAGUAAGUUUAUGGGCAUUGGUGAGUAAGUUUUGGGGGCAGGUGAGUAAGUUCAUGGGCUCAGGUGAGUAAGUUUAUGGGCAUUGGUGAGUAAGUUUAUGGGCACAAGUGAGUAAGUUAUGGAUAUAGGUGAGUAAGUUUUGGGGGCAAGGUGAGUA
Molecule: long non-coding RNA, 2804 nt
Organism: Eriocheir sinensis (Chinese mitten crab)
Lineage: Eukaryota; Metazoa; Arthropoda; Malacostraca; Decapoda; Varunidae
Exons: 4
Source: RefSeq, a predicted model, not a curated record